This 465-nucleotide ribosomal RNA is filed under the name uncultured bacterium. Its description in RNAcentral is "bacterial SSU rRNA". It matches the Rfam family "Bacterial small subunit ribosomal RNA", at positions 338 to 795 of the family's 1533-position model. The record is from RNAcentral.
CCUACGGGUUGCACCAGUGGGGAAUAUUGCACAAUGGGCGCAAGCCUGAUGCAGCCAUGCCGCGUGUAUGAAGAAGGCCUUCGGGUUGUAAAGUACUUUCAGCGAGGAGGAAGGCGUUAAGGUUAAUAACCUUAGCGAUUGACGUGACUCGCAGAAGAAGCACCGGCUAACUCCGUGCCAGCAGCCGCGGUAAUACGGAGGGUGCAAGCGUUAAUCGGAAUUACUGGGCGUAAAGCGCACGCAGGCGGUCUGUCAAGUCGGAUGUGAAAUCCCCGGGCUCAACCUGGGAACUGCAUUCGAAACUGGCAGGCUAGAGUCUUGUAGAGGGGGGUAGAAUUCCAGGUGUAGCGGUGAAAUGCGUAGAGAUCUGGAGGAAUACCGGUGGCGAAGGCGGCCCCCUGGACAAAGACCGACGCUCAGGUGCGAAAGCGUGGGGAGCAAACAGGAUUAGAUACCCCAGUAGUC